CUCAGAAGGUUUUAGGUUUUUUACUCUCUCUCUUUCAUUUCUUCUCGAUCUGCUCUGAAGAAGAGUUUCUGUUCUGAAGAAAUCCAACCAGCUGAAAGCAUCGAUCUAGGUUUUUAGGUCAUCUAUGAGAUUCGGAAGCAUCUAUCUGAUAAUCAGAUAAUAAGGUCAUCUUUUUGUUCUAGUUUUAUGAUUUGGGUCCAAUUUUUUCGAUUUAGGGUUUGUGAGAUUUAGGGUAUCAAAUUAUUUUUGUUUGAUUUCUACAUUUGGGUUUUCUUUCUGGGGUUUCAAAACAGCGAUGAAUUGGGUUUGUUCGAUUUAUAUUUACAUAGUCAAUAUAAAUUACAGUGGAGGAGAAUUUGUUCUUAAGAAUAGAGACAGUACUAAUACAACAUAUUAUGAUGAUAAGGAUCUAGGUGACGCUUCAGAGUUUUAUCAUAGCCAUAAUUGGGCCUUCAGUAGCACUUGUGAUUUCAUGGACAACAACAAUGAGGACAGUUAAACAAUUGAUCGUGCAAAUACAUCACUCUAGAUGACCCAGAGUUAUACUUGACAUCACGAAUAUCUCCUCUCUCUCUCUAACUUAUUAUGGGUUUUGUUUGCUUAAUGGUAAUUACAUAGUCAAACUCCACUUUGUUGAGAUAAUAUUUGAUGCUAAUGACUCGUAUGGAAGUCUUGGGAGGCGUGUAUUUGACUUCUACGUUUAGGUAACUAGCACCAUCAUUUUGAGAAUUUUUAAUCGUUGGACUAACUUAUGAUAUUUUGUAUAUAACUUGAUAGUUAUUGUAGGGAAAACUAGAGUUGAAAGAUUUUAAUAUUGUGAAAGCAGCGGGUGGGGUUCGGUAAGGUACACAUUGAAAUUUUACCUGCAGUUGUGACUAGUAAUACCCUGGAAAUUCAGUGAAUCCAAAAGCACCUUUAGUAGUUCUGUUCAUGGUGGUGCAUCUGCUUCUACAAUUGGUGGCAGUGCUAGAAAUUAAUUCUUACCCCAAAAACAACAACAACAUCACCAACAUCACCAUCAGCAAUAACACAUCAGUACGGUGUCACAACUGCUUGCUGGUGGAAUUGCAGGAGCUAUCAGUAAAACUUGUACUGCUCCUCUUGCUCGCCUCACCAUUCUCUUUCAGGUUCAAGGUAUGCACACAGAUGUUGCGAAUCUAAACAAGGCUAAUAUGGAGGGAGGCGUCACGGAUUGUACCAGAAGAAGGUUUUAGAGCACUCUGGAAAGGGAAUCUUGUUACUAUUGUUCAUUGUCUUCCUUAUUCUUCGAUAAGCUUAGGGAAAAUGGAUGUUGAUGAAAUUGUCCUGUAACUAUUGUUCUUCUAUUGUUUCGGCAGUCGCUGCAGUCAAUUCCUGGAUUAGAGAGGCGUAGGGAAAAUGUUACUUCCGAUCUUUUUGUACGAUUGGUGGGUGGAGGGUUGGCAGGGAUAGUAGCUUGAUCCAUUACUUAUCCACUAGAUCUUGUGAGAACGCGACUUGCGGCACAGGAGCUACAUGUCUGGUAAAGGGAUUAUGACAAAGUGCGGGUUAUUUUCUUCUACUACGGUCUUUGAAUUUUGAUGAUCAGGACCUCAUGGAAAGAAAAUAGGUGUUUUGGUGGACAUUAUAGUUGUUUCCGUAUUUUGUUUUGUGUGCAUUAUUUUGGGUGCUCUUUGGUGGAAGGGUUAUUUGGCGAGAAAAAAAUGAGAUCGAUUAAGGUAAGUCAUUUGUGAGUGUCCAGGGGUAGAAGGUUCUAUGGAAUCACAUCUCCGCGCUUUUGGUGAAAGAAAACGCUGGAACGUUGAAGUUUUAUUACGGAUGUUGACAAAGCUGCUUCCAUUCGUGCACCGAAAGUGAUUGAGACUUGCUCAUUUCCCUCUGCAAUGAGAUCUCUUCUACAUCUUCUGGACAAGGGGAUUCUUCACAAUCUCCUUGUUCGAAUUGUACGCAGGGUAUGUUAUACUUUCCUCUCACUAUUCUUGUUUAUGAAGUACCGAUUAAGUAUGCAUGAAGUCCUUUUAUCAUUGUACUGCCUCCAUGUAUACGUGUUUAUAAGUCAGCCAACAUAAGAAUCUGCCCUGACCUCCACGUAUUGUUUCUUGUUUUUCUCUAAAGAUCAUCUUUAAAUACAUUAUUCAUCUGUGUGCGCCAUUUUAUUCUUUUUUUUUCGUUUUGGCCUUGAAUGUCCUGUAUCAUAGUUUUUGGUAUGGUAUUCACACCAAACCCUUCGAUUGUAGCUACUCCUUUGGAUUAGGUAAACAAUUCUGAACAUGAUACUACUUGCAUGUGCGAUUGUAUGGUAUUGAGGUUGGAUUUUAGGAGUGUAUUAUUGUUCUCUUAUUCUCACACUUGUCUCUCUGAACUAACUGCAUUAUCAAGGCUCCUAGUUAUUCUUACUACAUAUUGUAAGUACACUUCUUUUGCUUAUGCUUAUCAUAUUGAGUUCUGUUGGAUACUAAUCUUUAGUAUAUAAUUUCAUUUGAGGUAAUAUGUUGUUCGUGAUGUUGCUACGGCAUUAUGCAGUUGCUGACCUUUCUCCAGUAAGUCUCUGUUGUGAUCUUCAUUGCUCCCAUGAAGCCAUUGGGUCUGGUGGGUCUUCAUAAUUCAACAAGUUCAUAGUUCUUUCAUAUUUGUGUAAUUGGCAGUUUCAGUAUGUCUAUUAACAAAAAAAUAUGAAGAUAGAUUCAGGAAUCAACAAAAGCUUAUGUCCUGUGCUGUCCGGCUCCCCAUUCUGUACCGACCUGUGAAUUUCCAAUUCCCUUUGUUGUCCUUCAACAUGAUGUAGAUACACUCACAGCAGCAGUAGUUUAUGAAUGUUCAUGAUCAACAACUACUCUGAAACGAAGGUAUUUGGGCUUAAGUCAAAAAGCAGUACUCUGGUGAUAUUUUAGAAGAAGUUGAAUCUCUGCUGAGGAGAUUGGUUAAGCAAGCGGAGUCUGGUGAUACUUCUGGUGAUAUUUAGUAUUUGUUUCCCAGUUUUUCAAUGCCUCUGUCAGUUGACACAAACUAGGUUACCCAUCCAUUUAUAAACAUCAACACAGAUCGAAUAUUGUAUGUCAGUCACAACAUACAUAAGUUUACUUGUGUACAUUUGUAUCAAUUGAAGAAUCAUUUCUUUUAUGAUCAUAUUAUCUAGUGGUGAUUCUCAACUACAUUUGUAUCAGGUUUGUAUUGCCAUUGUAAUUUGUAAAUCUGUGUGGAUGUUGGAUAUGGGGAACUAGGUAAUUGCAGGGGGAAAUGUGGAGGUAAUGAAUUUUGACUAGGUCAAUAAACAUAGACUUGACCCUAGCGCUCUA
Long non-coding RNA from Papaver somniferum (opium poppy), 3275 nucleotides. RefSeq lists it as uncharacterized. Lineage: Eukaryota; Viridiplantae; Streptophyta; Magnoliopsida; Ranunculales; Papaveraceae. The record is from RefSeq and is a predicted model, not a curated record. The transcript is spliced from 7 exons.